Molecule: transfer RNA, 57 nt
Filed under: Iphisa elegans
Lineage: Eukaryota; Metazoa; Chordata; Lepidosauria; Squamata; Gymnophthalmidae
Description: tRNA-Cys
Source: RNAcentral
AGCCCCGUAAGCGCCAGACUGCAAAUCGGCCACCGCACAAAUAAGAUGCCCGGGGCU